GACGAACGCUGGCGGCGUGCCUAAUACAGGCAAGUGGAGCGCUGAAGGUUGGUACUUGUACCAACUGGAUGAGCAGCGAACGGGUGAGUAAAGCGUGGGGAAUCUGCCUGUGAGCGGGGGACAACAUUUGGGAACGAAUGCUAAUACCGCAUAAAAACUUUAAACACAAGUUUUAAGGAUGAAAGGUGCAAUUGCAUCACUCAAAGAGGAUCCCGCGUUGUAUUUGUUAGUGGGUGAGGUAAAGGCGCCCCCAGGCGAGGAUACAUAGCCGACCUGAGAGGGUGAUCGGCCACCUUGGGACUGAGACACGGCCCAAACUCCUACGGGAGGCAGCAGUAGGGAAUCUUCGGACAUGGACGAAAGUCUGACCCAGCACCGCCGCGUGGUUGAAGAAGGUUUUCGGAUCGUAAAACUCUGUUGGUAGGGAAGAACGUUGGUGAGAGUGGAAAGCUCCUCAAGUGACGGUACCUACCCAGAAAGGGCCGGCUAACUACGUG
RNAcentral lists this ribosomal RNA (497 nucleotides) under uncultured bacterium. Its description in RNAcentral is "partial 16S ribosomal RNA". It matches the Rfam family "Bacterial small subunit ribosomal RNA", at positions 28 to 507 of the family's 1533-position model. The record is from RNAcentral.